UACGUAGGGUGCAAGCGUUAAUCGGAAUUACUGGGCGUAAAGCGUGCGCAGGCGGUUGUGUAAGACAGGUGUGAAAUCCCCGGGCUUAACCUGGGAAUUGCAUUUGUGACUGCACGACUAGAGUGUGUCAGAGGGGGGUGGAAUUCCACGUGUAGCAGUGAAAUGCGUAGAUAUGUGGAGGAACACCAAUGGCGAAGGCAGCCCCCUGGGAUAACACUGACGCUCAUGCACGAAAGCGUGGGGAGCAAACAGGAUUAGAAACCCGGUAGUCC
RNAcentral lists this ribosomal RNA (272 nucleotides) under uncultured prokaryote. RNAcentral describes it as "partial 16S ribosomal RNA". It matches the Rfam family "Bacterial small subunit ribosomal RNA", at positions 524 to 796 of the family's 1533-position model. The record is from RNAcentral.